This 626-nucleotide ribosomal RNA is filed under the name uncultured Gammaproteobacteria bacterium. RNAcentral describes it as "partial 16S ribosomal RNA". The record is from RNAcentral. Lineage: Bacteria; Pseudomonadati; Pseudomonadota; Gammaproteobacteria.
ACGCGUUGGGAGCUCUCCCAUAUGGUCGACCUGCAGGCGGCCGCGAAUUCACUAGUGAUUCGUAUUACCGCGGCUGCUGGCACAGAGUUAGCCGGUGCUUAUUCUGUCGGUAACGUCAAAACACUAACGUAUUAGGUUAAUGCCCUUCCUCCCAACUUAAAGUGCUUUACAAUCCGAAGACCUUCUUCACACACGCGGCAUGGCUGGAUCAGGCUUUCGCCCAUUGUCCAAUAUUCCCCACUGCUGCCUCCCGUAGGAGUCUGGACCGUGUCUCAGUUCCAGUGUGACUGAUCAUCCUCUCAGACCAGUUACGGAUCGUCGCCUUGGUGAGCCAUUACCCCACCAACUAGCUAAUCCGGCCUAGGCUCAUCUGAUAGCGCAAGGCCCGAAGGUCCCCUGCUUUCUCCCGUAGGACGUAUGCGGUAUUAGCGUCCGUUUCCGAGCGUUAUCCCCCACUACCAGGCAGAUUCCUAGGCAUUACUCACCCGUCCGCCGCUCUCAAGAGGUGCAAGCACCUCUCUACCGCUCGACUUGCAUGUGUUAGGCCUGCCGCCAGCGUUCAAUCUGAGCCAUGAUCAAACUCUAAUCGAAUUCCCGCGGCCGCCAUGGCGGCCGGGAGCAUGCGA